CCUACGGGGUGCUGCAGUGGGGAAUAUUGGACAAUGGGCGAAAGCCUGAUCCAGCCAUGCCGCGUGUGUGAAGAAGGCCUUCGGGUUGUAAAGCACUUUCAGUGGGGAAGAAAGCCUUGGGGCUAAUACCCUCGAGGAAGGACAUCACCCACAGAAGAAGCACCGGCUAACUCCGUGCCAGCAGCCGCGGUAAUACGGAGGGUGCGAGCGUUAAUCGGAAUUACUGGGCGUAAAGCGCGCGUAGGCGGUCUGAUAAGCCGGUUGUGAAAGCCCCGGGCUCAACCUGGGAACGGCAUCCGGAACUGUCAGGCUAGAGUGCAGGAGAGGAAGGUAGAAUUCCCGGUGUAGCGGUGAAAUGCGUAGAGAUCGGGAGGAAUACCAGUGGCGAAGGCGGCCUUCUGGACUGACACUGACGCUGAGGUGCGAAAGCGUGGGUAGCAAACAGGAUUACAUACCCUAGUAGUC
Molecule: ribosomal RNA, 465 nt
Filed under: Vreelandella stevensii
Lineage: Bacteria; Pseudomonadati; Pseudomonadota; Gammaproteobacteria; Oceanospirillales; Halomonadaceae
Description: partial 16S ribosomal RNA
Rfam family: Bacterial small subunit ribosomal RNA
Source: RNAcentral